UGCAGUCGAGCGGCAGCGACAACAUUGAUUCUUCGGAGGAUUUGUUGGGCGGCGAGCGGCGGACGGGUGAGUAAUGGCUGGGAACCUGCCCUGACGUGGGGGAUAACAGUUGGAAACGACUGCUAAUACCGCAUGAUGUCUUUGGACCAAAGAGGAGGACCUUCGGGCUUCUCGCGUCGGGAUGGGCCCAGUUGGGAUUAGCUAGUUGGUGAGGUAAUGGCUCACCAAGGCGACGAUCCCUAGCUGGUUUGAGAGGAUGAUCAGCCACACUGGAACUGAGACACGGUCCAGACUCCUACGGGAGGCAGCAGUGGGGAAUAUUGCACAAUGGGCGCAAGCCUGAUGCAGCCAUGCCGCGUGUGUGAAGAAGGCCUUCGGGUUGUAAAGCACUUUCAGCAGUGAGGAAGGCGUAGUGGUUAAUACCCGCUGCGCUUGACGUUAGCUGCAGAAGAAGCACCGGCUAACUCCGUGCCAGCAGCCGCGGUAAUACGGAGGGUGCGAGCGUUAAUCGGAAUUACUGGGCGUAAAGCGCAUGCAGGCGGUUUGUUAAGCAAGAUGUGAAAGCCCCGGGCUCAACCUGGGAACCGCAUUUUGAACUGGCAGGCUAGAGUCUUGUAGAGGGGG
This 624-nucleotide ribosomal RNA is filed under the name uncultured Vibrio sp. RNAcentral's name for it is "bacterial SSU rRNA". It matches the Rfam family "Bacterial small subunit ribosomal RNA", at positions 56 to 660 of the family's 1533-position model. Lineage: Bacteria; Pseudomonadati; Pseudomonadota; Gammaproteobacteria; Vibrionales; Vibrionaceae. The record is from RNAcentral.